This is an RNA transcript of Ornithorhynchus anatinus (platypus), 1149 nucleotides long. It is a transcript of the gene named vomeronasal 1 receptor ornAnaV1R3144, with no coding region annotated. The transcript is spliced from 3 exons. NCBI's taxonomy places the organism in Eukaryota, Metazoa, Chordata, Mammalia, Monotremata, Ornithorhynchidae. The record is from RefSeq and is marked inferred.
AUGGUCUCCAGAGACCUCAUCCAGGGCAUCUGCUUCCUCUCCCAGACAGCAGUGGGACUCGUUGGGAACUCCUUCCUCCUCACGGUCCAUGUCUUCCUGCUCCCCCAGCUCCAUCAGCCCAAGCCCACAGACCUAAUCGUCUCCCACUUGGCCUUGGUCCACACUGUGAUGCUCCUCACCAGGGUCGUCACGGUGACGGUAUCAGCCCUCAGUCUGCGGCAGCUCCAGACCGACGUCGGGUGUAAGAUGUUCGCCUUUGUCUACCGCGCUACGCGUGGUGUCUCCAUGGGCACCACCAGUCUUCUGAGUGCGACCCAAGCCAUUACCAUUGGUCCCAGCCACCCAUCCUGGACCCGGCUCAAAGCCCAGAUGUCCAAGCGCAUCUUCCCUGCCUGUGUCUCCAUCUGGUUCAUCAACAUGCUGGUGGAAGCCAACCUCCUCGUGAAGAUGGUUUUGUCCCCCAACCUGACCAGCAGAGGGAACAGUUUCCAUGACAACUAUUGUGUGGUGUCCAGGAUCAGCACAUACCUCAGCGCUCUGCUCCAGGGGCCCCUCCUGACCCUUAUGACGGUCCGCGACAUCCUCUCCCUGGGGCUCAUGGGAGGUUCCAGUGGCUACAUGGUCCUCCUCCUCCUCCGACAUAGCCAGAGGGUCCACCGUCUCCAUGGCCACCACCCGACAUCCAGGACCUCGCCGGAGACCCAGGCCACCCAAACCAUCCUGCUCCUGAUACUUCACCGAACACUACCAGCAUCUCCUGGCCCUGGGGUUUGCUGUGGAGAAGAUCAACAAGGACCCCAGUCUGUUACCCAAUAUUACCCAAUAUUUCUCUGGGCUUCCACCUCUUCAAUAUCCACUUCCUGGGGCCAAUGGAGGCCGAGAGCUCUAUGGCUCUGCUCUCGGGGAGAUCCGGGAUGGUUCUCAACUACAGCUGUGAGCCGGAGCAGUGGGACAAACUGUUGGCUGUAAUAGGAGGGAUGUCAUCAACAGUGUCCACAACAGUCUCUUGGCUUCUGGGACUCUAUAAGUUCCCCCAGAUAAUUGUAUAUUGCAUGGACCAAAGCCCCGUUCUCGGCAAAAUCUGGGUCACCAUAUCCGACUGGGAUUUGAUAACCAAUGCCCUCAUCAGAAAUAACAUCUUUUUCCAAG